GACGAACGCUGGCGGCGUGCCUAAUACAUGCAAGUUGAGCGCUGAAGGUUGGUACUUGUACCAACUGGAUGAGCAGCGAACGGGUGAGUAACGCGUGGGGAAUCUGCCUUUGAGCGGGGGACAACAUUUGGAAACGAAUGCUAAUACCGCAUAAAAACUUUAAACACAAGUUUUAAGUUUGAAAGAUGCAAUUGCAUCACUCAAAGAUGAUCCCGCGUUGUAUUAGCUAGUUGGUGAGGUAAAGGCUCACCAAGGCGAUGAUACAUAGCCGACCUGAGAGGGUGAUCGGCCACAUUGGGACUGAGACACGGCCCAAACUCCUACGGGAGGCAGCAGUAGGGAAUCUUCGGCAAUGGACGAGAGUCUGACCGAGCAACGCCGCGUGAGUGAAGAAGGGUUUCGGAUCGUAAAACUCUGUUGGUAGAGAAGAACGUUGGUGAGAGUGGAAAGCUCGUCAAGUGACGGUAACUACCCAGAAAGGGACGGCUAACUACGUG
RNAcentral lists this ribosomal RNA (497 nucleotides) under uncultured bacterium. RNAcentral describes it as "partial 16S ribosomal RNA". It matches the Rfam family "Bacterial small subunit ribosomal RNA", at positions 28 to 507 of the family's 1533-position model. The record is from RNAcentral.